AUCGCUAAGGAGAAACUUCGGAGCAAAAACAAAGGACCCUUCGGAACAGAUGAAAAGAUACAUUUUCUCACAAAAUGCGACAAUUUGACAGGAAGUUCUUUGAUGAGUGGGUGAAUGAAUCGACUGCAAUUUUGGGAGAAAAAAAACGACUGACAGCUGCUCACUAGCAGGCUAGUAAUAAUAAGAUGAACUUUCGAAGAGACCCAUUGACUCAUUCUGUAACUGCGAUUCAGCUCAAUUUUACCAGAAUGAGAUCCACCGACACCAGCAACAUACACUGCUCCUCGACUCACUCUUAUGCUCAACACUCCAUUUUGGAACGAUUGUUGCGUGGGCUUAUAGAAGAAAAAUUAAUUGAUCCUAAGCUUUGUGCGAGUUCGGGUGUUCGGUUAAAUUUAGUGAAUAAUUUAGCUGGCGGAGUUAGUUUUGAUAGGGCAUCGAUAGGCUGUGUUAAUGUGAGUAGCUCAUCCGAUGUGAAUGGCGAGAAAAAGUACUCAGGAAAUACACCAUCCGAUUAAAUUGUUGGAAGAACUUUUUAACCGUGGAUUGCUAUCCGAGGAGACCGGUUGGGCGCAUCUGAAGAGGGAAAUCGAGAAUAGUCUUGAGAAUUUAAGGCGAGCUCUCGAGGCUGAGAUUCUGCGCUCUGAGGAUAUACGCAACAAAUUUGAAAAUUUCGACAACACCAAGCCGUUUUCAUCGCUCUGUAGAGCACUCGCCGAUGCUACCGCUUGCGAUGAAAAAAGCAAUCAAGUGUUCCUUAGCAGUGGAAUAAGAGAUGUGCUGACAUAUAUUAUAAUCCAACUAUAGAACGGCCCAAUCUGUUUGAAAAAUCAGCCUCUGAAAAAUCUGACAUAUAUUAUAUCCUUUAGAGGGGCUCUUCAAAAUCAGCAGCGAUUUCUUCUGGCAGGCAAAAGGCUGAUUUUUCAAACAGAUUGGGCCGUUCUAUAGUUGGAUUAUAAUAUAUGUCAGCACAUCUCUUAUUCCGACAGCCUUGAGUAAUAGUGCUUUCCGAGGGUCUGACGUCGAAAAAUAUACGGUUGUUUGUGUGCAGGGCCCCCCAGAUGCUGCACAAUUUACUGUCAUCACAUGGAACGUCCGGCCGUCCUUCGUGCUAGCUGAGAGGAGGGUGCCAUCUCACACCUCCAUCAACCUAUCCGCAAAGUUCUCCGGGAGCAUUACUGCGACGGUGUCUUAACUGAUGAGGACGGCCGGUACUUCGUUACUUUCCGGGGAGUAACAGCUUUGGUGGGUGAUCCUCCUAUUCCCGGAUGAAAUUGUGCUUCAUCCGGGAGGACCUGCAUCAACCAGUCCUUUUAAGUGUUUUCGGAGACGAGGCGGAGAGGUAGCAGAGGGCGGGAAUGUCGCAAAUUUUGACCGAACGCGGGUCCCAAGUACUUCAUAGUAAAUAAAUUUACUAUUCAACAAAACGAACAAUUUCAACAAUUAGGCUGCAGGUAUGGACAUGUGCGAAGGAUGGCAGACGAUCGGUUGCCCAAGCAUGUUUUCGAUUGGGUUCUAGCCUGGGACCGAGUCCACGGUCGCGGUGUCCACAAGUCCAUUAACGAUGUCUAUUAAAUCGAUUGUUAUUAAAUAUUGUACCAACAUAAAUUGUGUAGUUCCUUAGCAUGAGUGGUUCUUGCACUUGCCACUGUCUAUCUAAGUGUACCUCCUUUAAUUUCAUCAGUCGCACUGUACUCGGGAUAUUUGGGUAGAUACUCGGGUACAUAUUCUUGCAACGAGCCAAGCUCGGUCAGUCGAUAGACGUGGCCUGAGAUAUCGGCGUGAGUUCCAGCCACUAUCUGUCGUUGAAGCUCACGCUCGAAAUCCCCGGACGCAUAUUAGUCGAUUAAUCGUUAGGACAUGUCAAGCUGGAAAAAAAUUUAAAAAAUUACUCCGAAAAUUAAUUUUUUUAAAAUAACCCACUUCUUGCACUACUCCGGCGGCAAACUAGCGUUCUUCGAUGCAUGGUGGUUCGCAUUAAACGCAGUUGGCCCGAAGAGUAUAAUUGCCAAACUUGGUUAUAAAUGUUCACUAUAAAAAGAUUACGGAUUGCCUUGCGGUUGAAGUUGCUGCAUCUGGUUUUCCGGCACCAGCGGUUGCUCUUGUAAUAAGUUAUUGGCUGUUCUUCUCCGUUUUCACCGAUGAGAACGCCUUAAAACUCUACGUAUAUAUAUGGAUGGUUUCUUCGAACAAAUAGGUACUUUUGGAUGAGCCAGAAAUAUUAGUUUCUCCUUGCAAAAUGCAGUUCAAUUCUAUUUAACAUAAAUUCCGCACAUGGUGUCUUACAGUACUUAUAGUGCACUCCAAAUCUUACCUUGACAGGUUUAAUCUUUGUGUUAACUGUUAACAAUUAUUUUGGUCCCAGUCCAACACUUACCAUCUCGAAUCAGAGAAACUAUUUUUGCCUAUCUCGCUUGUUGAAGGAAUUUUAUACGUCCGGUAAUCAGUAUGAUGAAGGUAUAGUUACAUUGCUUGAAAUGGCCACGGCACCUUUGAUUUAUGUGAAGAGAUAAUCAUAAAAUUAAAUGUUGAAAGUAAUGACACUAAGUAUGAUCAAUCUUGGUGUCGCAAUAUCAGCAAUUGACGGCUUUUUAUUGUGUAAAUGCUCUGUAUUUGCUGGUUGAAAAUAAGUAAUUCCCAGCUUCCUCCUCAACUCACUUCGUUUUUAAUUUUGUAUUUUUGGGCUGAUUAUCGUACAAUAUAAUCUUGAGUUGUGCUAAAACUUUUAAGUUUCUAUCUGAAUCUUCACGAUUCUGGUGAGGUUCCGUGAUGCAUUUUGCUAUGCAUCAUGAUUUUGUUUACUAGCGGAAUGCUUCAAUAAAAACAUAAGAAAAGCAACAGAGUUAUUUUUAUUUUUAUUUUUAUUUUAUUUUAUUUUAUUUUAUUUUAUUUUAUUUUAUUUUAUUUUAUUUUAUUUUAUUUUAUUUUAUUUUAUUUUAUUUUAUUUUAUUUUAUUUUAUUUUAUUUUAUUUUAUUUUUGUUCAAUCGAGAGUUAACCGCGCAUAUUUUCACAUUUUUUAAUUUAAUGGAGCUUACUUCUAUUCUGCCGUGCUAAGGAAGAACGCCGUAUGAACCUUUGGGCGUUGCCGAAUUUCUAUUGAUGAAACACGAAUUUCCUGGUGAACAUAUGAAUAUUUUCCUUCUAAUUUCUCAGAUAUUUUUGUUCGCAAUUUUACCUGAAGUUCCUGAAAAUUUCAAGGAAAAAUAUUCAUAAUUUUCCUAAAAAAUAAACAUCUUAUUAAAGGAAAUUUGGCAACCCUUAAAUGUUCAUACGGCGUUCUUCCUUAGCACGGCAUUAUUACACGAGCAAUCCACGUGAUAUUUUGCGCCUCUGCGUGAUACACAUUCUCCAGAAAAUUUAGCCUCUGUUCCUCACUCCUCAUUUUUGAGAGAAUCGGGCGAAACAUAAAAUUUCGUAGAACCAGAAAAAACAUUCGCCCCUUCCAAUUCCUCUCCUUUUCUACUGUCCCCGUUUUCCCCCUCAAUGCAUUUUCAAAUACAGUUUUCCCGCUCUCCUGCACGGCAACCAUAGCUCUGCCGUGCUAAGGAAAACGUCGUAUAAACCUUUAGGCGCUGCCAAAUUUCCUUUUGGAAUACAAAUUUACUGGAAGUGUUGUAAACAAUUUUCUUUCAAUUUUUUAGAGAAUAUUGUUGGCACUUAAAUCUAAAAUAUGUGAAAACCUCAAAGGAAAAUAUGCGCAACUUUCUUUCAAAAGAACCAUUUUAUUGGAGGAAAUAAUGUGGCAACACUCGAAUAUUCAUACGGCGUUUUUUCUUAGCACGGCAGUGCAGCUGUUUUUCACGGUUCAAGUUCAAUUCCCCGAUGCGAACUUUUCUCGUAGUUGUCGUGGUGAUGGAGGCACUGACAGGACAGAACUCGGGCACACAUUGGUUCGUACAAAAUUCCCAUUUUUAUUUCCCCAUUAAACUGGAUGGCAUUAAAAUGGAUCUGCAGUGCGUAUUUGAGAACGAUUCGAUAGUCGAUUGAUUGAUCGCUAAUUUUUGAACUUUGAAACAUUAUUCAAACAUUUUUGGACUUUUAAACAAUGCUCAAACAUUUUUGAACUUUGAAACAAUAUUCAAACGUUUUUGAACUUUGGAACAUUGUUCAAACAUUUUUGAACGUCACGUCGCGCUAUACUUCCGCGCUAAGGAAAAAUGCCGUAUGAGCAUUCGAAAUUUGCGAAACCUCCUCUCAGAAAAUAUUUAUUUUUGAAGGAUGUUGCGGAUAAUUUCAUUUGAAAUUUUCAAACUUUUCAGAUCAAAUUACGAACGAAAUCCUUUGAAAAUCGGAAGAAAAAUAUUCACAAAUUUUCCUGCAAAUUCGAUUUGGCAACGUCUGAUAGCUCAUACGGCGUUCUUCCUUAGUACGGCAGGCACUCGCUCACAAGAUUUGAACGAGAAAAACUUUGAAAG
Molecule: long non-coding RNA, 4416 nt
Filed under: Bemisia tabaci
Lineage: Eukaryota; Metazoa; Arthropoda; Insecta; Hemiptera; Aleyrodidae
Description: lncRNA ENSASIAIIG004448
Source: RNAcentral